GAACUGCGAUAAGUAAUGUGAAUUGCAGAAUUCAGUGAAUCAUCGAGUCUUUGAACGCACAUUGCGCCCCCUGGCAUUCCGGGGGGCAUGCCUGUCCGAGCGUCAUUGCUGCCCUUCAAGCCCGGCUUGUGUGUUGGGUCGUAGUCCCCUCCGGGGGACGGGCCCGAAAGGCAGCGGCGGCACCGCGUCCGGUCCUCGAGCGUAUGGGGCUUUGUCACCCGCUCGAUAAGGACCGGCCGGGCGCCAGCCGGCGUCUCCAACCUUUUUUUCUCAGGUUGACCUCGGAUCAGGUAGGGAUACCCGCUGAACUUAAGC
RNAcentral lists this unclassified non-coding RNA (315 nucleotides) under plant metagenome. RNAcentral describes it as "partial contains 5.8S ribosomal RNA, internal transcribed spacer 2, and large subunit ribosomal RNA". The stretch from base 1 to 105 matches the Rfam family "5.8S ribosomal RNA", at positions 50 to 154 of the family's 154-position model. The record is from RNAcentral.